GACAGAGGCAACCAUAUAACCAUAUACAUAGACCUCAUCUGGGAAAAAGGCCUGUCUUUAGGCUGGAAGUGUCCUGUGGAAUCCCUAUCUGUGAACCCUAUAUUCAGUCUUCCUGUAGCCUCAACCUCAGUCCAAUUCCUGAACACAGAGGUUGGGAUUGACUGUUGUGAAGGAGAGGAGGAGAGUGCAUGUCAAGUUUCAGUAGCUGGAUGGACGAAGGCACGGAAGUAGGAAUCAGCAGGCAAACUGAAAAGGGUAAAGAAAAUCACUUAAGGGAGGAGCCAAGAUGGCCGAAUAGGAACAGCUCCGGUCUACAGCUCCCAGCGUGAGCGACGCAGAAGACGGGUGAUUUCUGCAUUUCCAUCUGAGGUACCGGGUUCAUCUCACUAGGGAGUGCCAGACAGUGGGCGCAGGCCAGUGUGUGUGCGCACCAUGCGCGAGCCGAAGCAGGGCGAGGCAUUGCCUCAGCUGGGAAGCGCAAGGGGUCAGGGAGUUCACUUUCCAAGUCAAAGAAAGGGGUGACGGACGCACCUGGAAAAUCGGGUCACUCCCACCCGAAUAUUGCGCUUUUCAGACCGGCUUAAGAAACGGCGCACCACGAGACUAUAUCCCACACCUGGCUCAGAGGGUCCUACGCCCACGGAACCUCGCUGAUUGCUAGCACAGCAGUCUGAGAUCAAACUGCAAGGCGGCAAGGAGGCUGGGGGAGGGGCGCCCGCCAUUGCCCAGGCUUGCUUAGGUAAACAAAGCAGCCGGGAAGCUCGAACUGGGUGGAGCCCACCACAGCUCAAGGAGGCCUGCCUGCCUCUGUAGGCUCCACCUCUGGGGGCAGGGCACAGACAAACAAAAAGACAGCAGUAACCUCUGCAGACUUAAGUGUCCCUGUCUGACAGCUUUGAAGAGAGCAGUGGUUCUCCCAGCACGCAGCUGGAGAUCUGAGAACGGGCAGACUGCCUCCUCAAGUGGGUCCCUGACCCCUGACCCCCGAGCAGCCUAACUGGGAGGCACCCCCCAGCAGGGGCACACUGACACCUCACACGGCAGGGUAUUCCAACAGACCUGCAGCUGAGGGUCCUGUCUGUUAGAAGGAAAACUAACAACCAGAAAGGACAUCUACACCGAAAACCCAUCUGUACAUCACCAUCAUCAAAGACCAAAAGUAGAUAAAACCACAAAGAUGGGGAAAAAACAGAACAGAAAAACUGGAAACUCUAAAACGCAGAGCGCCUCUCCUCCUCCAAAGGAACGCAGUUCCUCACCAGCAACAGAACAAAGCUGGAUGGAGAAUGAUUUUGAUGAGCUGAGAGAAGAAGGCUUCAGACGAUCAAAUUACUCUGAGCUACGGGAGGACAUUCAAACCAAAGGCAAAGAAGUUGAAAACUUUGAAAAAAAUUUAGAAGAAUGUAUAACUAGAAUAACCAAUACAGAGAAGUGCUUAAAGGAGCUGAUGGAGCUGAAAACCAAGGCUCGAGAACUACGUGAAGAAUGCAGAAGCCUCAGGAGCCAAUGCGAUCAACUGGAAGAAAGGGUAUCAGCAAUGGAAGAUGAAAUGAAUGAAAUGAAGCGAGAAGGGAAGUUUAGAGAAAAAAGAAUAAAAAGAAAUGAGCAAAGCCUCCAAGAAAUAUGGGACUAUGUGAAAAGACCAAAUCUACGUCUGAUUGGUGUACCUGAAAGUGAUGUGGAGAAUGGAACCAAGUUGGAAAACACUCUGCAGGAUAUUAUCCAGGAGAACUUCCCCAAUCUAGCAAGGCAGGCCAACGUUCAGAUUCAGGAAAUACAGAGAACGCCACAAAGAUACUCCUCGAGAAGAGCAACUCCAAGACACAUAAUUGUCAGAUUCACCAAAGUUGAAAUGAAGGAAAAAAUGUUAAGGGCAGCCAGAGAGAAAGGUCGGGUUACCCUCAAAGGAAAGCCCAUCAGACUAACAGCGGAUCUCUCGGCAGAAACCCUACAAGCCAGAAGAGAGUGGGGGCCAAUAUUCAACAUUCUUAAAGAAAAGAAUUUUCAACCCAGAAUUUCCUAUCCAGCCAAACUAAGCUUCAUAAGUGAAGGAGAAAUAAAAUACUUUAUAGACAAGCAAAUGCUGAGAGAUUUUGUCACCACCAGGCCUGCCCUAAAAGAGCUCCUGAAGGAAGCACUAAACAUGGAAAGGAACAACCGGUACCAGCCGCUGCAAAAUCAUGCCAAAAUGUAAAGACCAUCGAGACUAGGAAGAAACUGCAUCAACUAAUGAGCAAAAUCACCAGCUAACAUCAUAAUGACAGGAUCAAAUUCACACAUAACAAUAUUAACUUUAAAUAUAAAUGGACUAAAUUCUGCAAUUAAAAGACACAGACUGGCAAGUUGGAUAAAGAGUCAAGACCCAUCAGUGUGCUGUAUUCAGGAAACCCAUCUCACGUGCAGAGACACACAUAGGCUCAAAAUAAAAGGAUGGAGGAAGAUCUACCAAGCCAAUGGAAAACAAAAAAAGGCAGGGGUUGCAAUCCUAGUCUCUGAUAAAACAGACUUUAAACCAACAAAGAUCAAAAGAGACAAAGAAGGCCAUUACAUAAUGGUAAAGGGAUCAAUUCAACAAGAGGAGCUAACUAUCCUAAAUAUUUAUGCACCCAAUACAGGAGCACCCAGAUUCAUAAAGCAAGUCCUGAGUGACCUACAAAGAGACUUAGACUCCCACACAUUAAUAAUGGGAGACUUUAACACCCCACUGUCAACAUUAGACAGAUCAAUGAGACAGAAAGUCAACAAGGAUACCCAGGAAUUGAACUCAGCUCUGCACCAAGCAGACCUAAUAGACAUCUACAGAACUCUCCACCCCAAAUCAACAGAAUAUACAUUUUUUUCAGCACCACACCACACCUAUUCCAAAAUUGACCACAUAGUUGGAAGUAAAGCUCUCCUCAGCAAAUGUAAAAGAACAGAAAUUAUAACAAACUAUCUCUCAGACCACAGUGCAAUCAAACUAGAACUCAGGAUUAAGAAUCUCACUCAAAGCCGCUCAACUACAUGGAAACUGAACAACCUGCUCCUGAAUGACUACUGGGUACAUAACGAAAUGAAGGCAGAAAUAAAGAUGUUCUUUGAAACCAACGAGAACAAAGACACCACAUACCAGAAUCUCUGGGACACAUUCAAAGCAGUGUGUAGAGGGAAAUUUAUAGCACUAAAUGCCUACAAGAGAAAGCAGGAAAGAUCCAAAAUUGACACC
This is a long non-coding RNA of Homo sapiens (human), 3205 nucleotides long. Lineage: Eukaryota; Metazoa; Chordata; Mammalia; Primates; Hominidae. The record is from Ensembl.